Molecule: ribosomal RNA, 481 nt
Filed under: uncultured bacterium
Lineage: Bacteria
Also listed under: 1 other name
Description: bacterial SSU rRNA
Rfam family: Bacterial small subunit ribosomal RNA
Source: RNAcentral
AACACAUGCAAGUCGAACGGGGAAAGGUAGCUUGCUACCUAACCUAGCGGCGGACGGGUGAGUAAUGCUUAGGAAUCUGCCUAUUAGUGGGGGACAACAUCUCGAAAGGGAUGCUAAUACCGCAUACGUCCUACGGGAGAAAGCAGGGGACCUUCGGGCCUUGCGCUAAUAGAUGAGCCUAAGUCGGAUUAGCUGGUUGGUGGGAUAAAGGCCUACCAAGGCGACGAUCUGUAGCGGGUCUGAGAGGAUGAUCCGCCACACUGGGACUGAGGCACGGCCCAGACUCCUACGGGAGGCAGCAGUGGGGAAUUUUGGACAAUGGGCGAAAGCCUGAUCCAGCAAUGCCGCGUGUGUGAAGAAGGCCUCCGGGUUGUAAAGCACUUUUGUCCGGAAAGAAAUCCUUGGCUCUAAUACAGUCGGGGGAUGACGGUACCGGAAGAAUAAGCACCGGCUAACUACGUGCCAGCAGCCGCGGUAAUAC